AUCGGCCCCUCUUCUUGAAUUUCCAUCUAUGAUUGACGGGUUUUUUACCCUAGUUUCACAAGAACACCCAUGUCGGCUCCGAGGAGUGCAUAGCAGUGAAUCCACCAUUCCUGCAAUGAUUUCUUUCAAUUGUCACCACUAAUAGCCCUCCCUUGAGCUCAAGAACAAUGCCCAAUCAUUGGUUGGAGCGUCGGAGUUUAUUUGAGGACAAAUCAAAAACACCCAAAUUCUAGGGUUCCGAUG
RNAcentral lists this long non-coding RNA (243 nucleotides) under Malus domestica (apple). RNAcentral describes it as "long non-coding RNA (MDOM_LNC008466)". Lineage: Eukaryota; Viridiplantae; Streptophyta; Magnoliopsida; Rosales; Rosaceae. The record is from RNAcentral.